UCUCAAACACACACAGCACCCUUACAAACACAACACCCUCAAAUACAGCACACUAACAGCACCCUCACAAACACACACACAGCACCCUCACACACAGCACACUAACAGCACCCUCACAAAGACACGACACCCACACACAGCACACAAACAGCACCCUCAUACACACACACAUCACACAAACAGCAUCCUCACACAAACGGCACACUAACAGGACCCUAACAAACACACACACACAAACACCCUCACACACACAGCACACAAACAGCAUCGUCACACACAGCACACUAACAGCACCCUUACAAACACACACACACACAAACAUCCUCACCUACAUAGCACACUAACAGCACCCUCACACACACAGCACCCUCACACAGCACACUAACAGCACACACACACACAUCA
Non-coding RNA from Pelobates cultripes (western spadefoot toad), 405 nucleotides. The record is from the annotation of a GenBank genome assembly. NCBI's taxonomy places the organism in Eukaryota, Metazoa, Chordata, Amphibia, Anura, Pelobatidae.